UCCUGGAGUAACACUAGGACAUUGGGCCAAUAAACGAUGAUCCUUACAGGAACUUUACAUUGGUCCAGUUUUACAACGAACAGAGGAAAACCGCAAUUGCCUGCGGUGAUGGUAGAGUCAAAUUGAAAGCACUAUUCCAUAAGCGACUGAGGUGAAAUUGUAACCAGUGAACUGCUUACUGUCGCAAUCGGAUCCAGAUGAAAGGCACAUUCACGAGUGUUUUCUAAAAUAUGGGUGCCAUUACGUUUGAACAUGCGCACUCUCUCUUUCGAUGCAAUGUCAAUGCUAAUUAGAACCUGUAAUUUGCACGUAGCAAUAUAUACCUGUAAUUAGAUUCGAGAUUACAUCCAAUAUUUCAUUAUCAGUUAAUACUAUGGUUAAUGUUUGCAUUCGAUUAUUGUCCUAUGUUCAAAACACACUAUUUAAAUGACGUAACAAUCAUUGUAGAGUUCUGUAAUUACUGUUCUGUUGUAUGAAAACCGUGUUUAUGAUAUGACCAACGAUUUCCUCAUUUUUGCGGUUUUUGGAUGAGCUCCGUAAAACACGAAACGUGAAAAUAUAAGGUUUUCAGUUAUUUUCAUCAUAAUAAAAAUAAUAUUGCAUACAUAUGGUUGCAAUUUCUAACUGUGUUUAGUUUGUUUGGAAUAUAUAUAAUAAAAAUGAUUUGGAAAUUAAUGAGGCAUGCAUAGUCGUCCUUUUAAGCUCACAUAAUUGCACUUGAACGCCAAAACCACAGAAUAUAUAUAAAUAGGCACAGCGUGCGACCUCGUCACUGUUGACCGUAAGCGAUCGUGAGAUGAGCUCAGACUCAGCAUUCAGUCAACACGUAGAGUGAUCCUUAUUUCUGAUUCCCUUUCAGCAAUCGUGGUUUCCGUUAGUAUUGGCUAGCGAGUUACACAGGUUAGUAUACUAUUUUAGCACUUUACAGUAUACUAUAGCAUAAAGUUGUGAGAACUUGCUUCUGGUGUGUUCGUUUUCUGCGCUUAUGGCGUGUUCGCUUUUAUGUACCACUUUUGCGCUUGGUAGAUUUUGGGGUUUUUAGACUAGCGGUAUAUUCUAUGCCUACUGCAUUCGAUGUUUGAUUCCUCGUUGGUUUAUGACCAGAUUUGUUUGCGAUUUUCUGGUGUUUUUAUUAUUUUCAAGUACCUCGACAAUGACAGCUUGUUCUCAAUUAUUUUCCAACCAUGUUCCUUCAAGUGCCAUUCUUUGCCAAAGAUUUUCUUGCUCGAGGCAAUGCACGCGAAACGAUAAAGUUUAGUGCCAAGUCUUUCUGCCAAAUUGCAUGAAAUUGUAGACACUUGUCAAACCAAUUUAUAGUUGUUAGAAAGUGAAUUGAAAGCGCAAUGGUCUAUGCCUUCAAAUUUUUGCGUAUUCAUCACUGCAUGAUUAGAAAUCACAUGUCUUUGACUUUGCAUGUAAAUUCUUCGUUGCGGAAAUCUCAAAAUAUGCAUACUGUUCCCAAUUUAGUGGCUGUUUGUAUCAAGAACCUUUGUAUGUAGGAAUUUCACAAAACAGUUUUGAUCUGCGAUCAAAAAGACAUUAUUAAAAGGACUAUUUAAAAGUUAGACUUUGAGGCGUGGUUUUAUUUCUUCUGCACGCUAAAAUAGGGAUUUCCUACACAUGCA
Paramuricea clavata is the source of this 1625-nucleotide non-coding RNA. NCBI's taxonomy places the organism in Eukaryota, Metazoa, Cnidaria, Anthozoa, Malacalcyonacea, Plexauridae. The record is from the annotation of a GenBank genome assembly.